GGAGAGUCCGCGCGCAUCGCCCCCCUCCGCGGCGCCAGCCCUGGCGUCCGUGCGUGGCCCCGCCAGGGAUGGGGCGACGCGGUCAGAGCCGCACGCGACCGAAAUCCGCACUCUGGAGCCGCAGAGCGCGCGGUCUUGCUGUUUAGCGGCUCCCUGGCAAGUGACGUGGGGAAGAAACGCAGGGCGCAGGAGAGACAGCUGGAAAGCGAGCUAGCCAGGCCCCGUUUUUUCAGCUUCUCCUUUGACUUGAUCCCUGAAGAUGGCUCUGCCUCUGGCCCGCUUGAAAUGUGUCGACUAGGUCAUGAUCACCGUGCAUUCUGCUCAGCGUAGUCUCCCCGCCUGAAAUGUUAUUAAUGCCAUCUAAAAUGACUACGGUUCUGUGGUCUACCGAACUGCCCAGGGAGGUGGGGGUUUCAGACUUUUGGCAUCUCAAGAAACUUGAGAUUACCGAGACCACGAUACCCUCAGAGACGUGACGAGGUGGGAUCAAGGCCACGGGGGACCAGAAUGCUGACCCAGGCAACCUGUGCCUGCUGCGCUGCCCUUUGUAAUACUCCUUAUCAUAUCAUGAGGAGGUAUUUUUCGUUCUCCACAAACUUGGUGGUGGAUGGAAGAGGAUAUCAAGCUCGCCUUGAGUGGGAUUGAGGUAGGAGGCGGGGCUCAGACACCAGACCAGAUUGAGGACAAACUAAAGCAAGGUCAGGGCCAAAGCAGCUUUCCAUCAGACAGGCCCACCAGGGUGCCACGUCAGUUUACCGUUGCCAUGGCAAUACCAGGGAGUUACCGCCCCUUUCCAUGGCAGUGACCCAAUAAUUACCACCCCUUCCCUACAGAUUUCUGCAUAAACCGCCCCUUAAUCUGCAUGCAAUGAAAAGUGGGCAUAUAUAUAUAUAUAUGACUGCAAAACUGCCCUGAGCUGCUCCUCUCUGCCUAUGGGCGAGCCCUGCUCUGCAGGAGCAGUCACGGAGCUGUAACCCUGCCUCUUCAGUAAAGCUGUUUUCUUCUA
Molecule: non-coding RNA, 1006 nt
Filed under: Pongo abelii (Sumatran orangutan)
Lineage: Eukaryota; Metazoa; Chordata; Mammalia; Primates; Hominidae
Source: RNAcentral